This 1607-nucleotide ribosomal RNA is filed under the name Salmonella enterica subsp. enterica serovar Newport. RNAcentral's name for it is "bacterial LSU rRNA". It matches the Rfam family "Bacterial large subunit ribosomal RNA", at positions 1223 to 2812 of the family's 2925-position model. The record is from RNAcentral. Lineage: Bacteria; Pseudomonadati; Pseudomonadota; Gammaproteobacteria; Enterobacterales; Enterobacteriaceae.
GUUGGGUAGGGGAGCGUUCUGUAAGCCUGUGAAGGUGUGUCGUGAGGCAUGCUGGAGGUAUCAGAAGUGCGAAUGCUGACAUAAGUAACGAUAAAGCGGGUGAAAAGCCCGCUCGCCGGAAGACCAAGGGUUCCUGUCCAACGUUAAUCGGGGCAGGGUGAGUCGACCCCUAAGGCGAGGCCGAAAGGCGUAGUCGAUGGGAAACAGGUUAAUAUUCCUGUACUUGGUGUUACUGCGAAGGGGGGACGGAGAAGGCUAUGUUGGCCGGGCGACGGUUGUCCCGGUUUAAGCGUGUAGGUGUGUGUUCCAGGUAAAUCCGGUUCACUUUAACACUGAGGCGUGACGACGAGGCACUACGGUGCUGAAGCAACAAAUGCCCUGCUUCCAGGAAAAGCCUCUAAGCAUCAGGUAACAUCAAAUCGUACCCCAAACCGACACAGGUGGUCAGGUAGAGAAUACCAAGGCGCUUGAGAGAACUCGGGUGAAGGAACUAGGCAAAAUGGUGCCGUAACUUCGGGAGAAGGCACGCUGACACGUAGGUGAAGUGAUUUACUCAUGGAGCUGAAGUCAGUCGAAGAUACCAGCUGGCUGCAACUGUUUAUUAAAAACACAGCACUGUGCAAACACGAAAGUGGACGUAUACGGUGUGACGCCUGCCCGGUGCCGGAAGGUUAAUUGAUGGGGUCAGCGCAAGCGAAGCUCCUGAUCGAAGCCCCGGUAAACGGCGGCCGUAACUAUAACGGUCCUAAGGUAGCGAAAUUCCUUGUCGGGUAAGUUCCGACCUGCACGAAUGGCGUAAUGAUGGCCAGGCUGUCUCCACCCGAGACUCAGUGAAAUUGAACUCGCUGUGAAGAUGCAGUGUACCCGCGGCAAGACGGAAAGACCCCGUGAACCUUUACUAUAGCUUGACACUGAACAUUGAGCCUUGAUGUGUAGGAUAGGUGGGAGGCUUUGAAGCGUGGACGCCAGUCUGCGUGGAGCCGACCUUGAAAUACCACCCUUUAAUGUUUGAUGUUCUAACGUGGACCCGUAAUCCGGGUUGCGGACAGUGUCUGGUGGGUAGUUUGACUGGGGCGGUCUCCUCCUAAAGAGUAACGGAGGAGCACGAAGGUUGGCUAAUCCUGGUCGGACAUCAGGAGGUUAGUGCAAUGGCAUAAGCCAGCUUGACUGCGAGCGUGACGGCGCGAGCAGGUGCGAAAGCAGGUCAUAGUGAUCCGGUGGUUCUGAAUGGAAGGGCCAUCGCUCAACGGAUAAAAGGUACUCCGGGGAUAACAGGCUGAUACCGCCCAAGAGUUCAUAUCGACGGCGGUGUUUGGCACCUCGAUGUCGGCUCAUCACAUCCUGGGGCUGAAGUAGGUCCCAAGGGUAUGGCUGUUCGCCAUUUAAAGUGGUACGCGAGCUGGGUUUAGAACGUCGUGAGACAGUUCGGUCCCUAUCUGCCGUGGGCGCUGGAGAACUGAGGGGGGCUGCUCCUAGUACGAGAGGACCGGAGUGGACGCAUCACUGGUGUUCGGGUUGUCAUGCCAAUGGCACUGCCCGGUAGCUAAAUGCGGAAGAGAUAAGUGCUGAAAGCAUCUAAGCACGAAACUUGCCCCGAGAUGAGUUCU